This is a long non-coding RNA of Ananas comosus (pineapple), 1709 nucleotides long. RefSeq lists it as uncharacterized. The transcript has 2 exons. Lineage: Eukaryota; Viridiplantae; Streptophyta; Magnoliopsida; Poales; Bromeliaceae. The record is from RefSeq and is a predicted model, not a curated record.
ACAUCACAUUGCCACUUCCAAUAUACCAAUACCAUGUUAAAAACAAACAACCUUAAACCUGAAGGAGAGCCCCAAUUUAUUGAAGCUUUAAACCUCUUCCUCAAAACCCAGCAAAUUAGUUAACAAAACCAUUCACUUAAUUUGUUAAGUUCAUGGGUUCUCCUCCUACAAAAUACUUGGUCUCCAUUCUCACCACCUUAUUUCUUUUUCUUGUACUAUCAUGCAACUUCACUAGCACCAAUGCUUACACUCUUGCUACCGGAGAGAAAUGGCCGCCUGCAAGAAGAAUGUUAGGGAACCGAGUUCCGGCGGGCGCCAAUCCGCCACCGGCAUGGCAUACGCCGGUGACUACCCUCCCCGGCUCCGCCCCCCCUCCCUGCCCCUACAGUCAUUACACAAAGUUAAACUAAACUAAGACCUCUAUAAUUAUGCCAUUAGUAUUAAUCUCUGUACUUAUGUACUUAAGAGAGAGAGAGAGAGAGAGAGAGAGAGAGAUUUGUAGCCUGUUUUGUAACUUAAUGUUACUAGACUAUAGAUAAAAUAAAGUAGAGCGAAAUUAUAUUUCCCAACUGGAGGUUGCAGGAAUCAUAUAUAGUUUGAUCAUAUGUGUACGUGUGAUUUAGCGGCAUGCAUGUUAUUAUUUACAGAAAUAAAUAAAAUAAUUUUCUAUUAUACUUUGUCGCGUGGUGCAUUAUGCAUCUUGAUUUGUUGUAAUCAUAUGUUUUUUUUUUUGGGGAUCCCCGGCACCGAUCUCUCCCCGCUCCUACUCUCUCCGAUCCCCUCCGACCUCGCCGGAGCUUCGCCGGAGGCGGCGUCCGCGGUGGCGGAGGUGGCGGCGGCGUGCCGCGAGUGGGGGUUCCUCCAGGUGGUGAACCACGGGGUGCCGAUCGAGGCGGUAGAGCGCGUGGCGGCGGCGGAGAGGGCGUUCUUCGCGUCGGCGCCGGAGGAGAAGCGACGCGAGGGGGACAGCCCGACCUGACACAAGCUGUUUUGACGCAACCCAAGUCUGUGGGCCUUACUGAUGUUGGCCUUGAUCUCGAAGACCCCGUGGGAACCGACCCAAUCACAGGAACUAACCUGGAAUGCUGCGCGGAACGUUUGGGAGGGGAUACUAACAGGUUGUUCAGUGCGGCAGGUGAUGGCUUGAGGAGUUCUGAUGGCUACAGCGAGGCCAUUUCUGCAGAAUUACAAGGGGAUUUGAACCAUGGAUGUGCCCCCACGACGUAUUAUAUUCCAUCAGUGUCACUAGAAAGAGUGCCCGUCUCUCUAGCCGUGACAACAUUUUUGCUUUGGAGAGGGCGAUUUCACGCAAAGUUUUUCUGAGGGAAGGAGAAAUGCCUGCUGUAGCAACCCCUAAGCGCAAGGCGCAGAAGGGGUUGACGAAGAAGGUCACACCUGCUGAUGCUGGCGAUGUGGGGCUCGGCAAGAUUAAGAACAAAAGCGCCAAGUGUGGGAUCCUCCUCACUCACGAGGAGGCCAGCAGCUUUAUGGAGUUUCAGUGCGUCACCCAUUAGAUAGUCUCUGGUGAGGGUGUUGCUUUGGUAGAGGUGGUUUCUUAGUGUGUCAUGUUCCAGUUAUGUAGUUGGAAUGUUAGAGGUCUAAACGACCGAAAUAAAAGAUGUCUCGUGAAGUCGGUAGUGUCUAAGCUUAAGAAGUCGGUGUUAUGUUUCCAAGAAUCAAAAGUGGAGGAUGUCUUGUGUUCGUUUCUC